Molecule: long non-coding RNA, 616 nt
Filed under: Phoenix dactylifera (date palm)
Lineage: Eukaryota; Viridiplantae; Streptophyta; Magnoliopsida; Arecales; Arecaceae
Description: long non-coding RNA (PDAC_LNC007588)
Source: RNAcentral
AGAAACAUCCAUGAAAAGUGAUGGCAUCAUGCAAGCAAUAAAUGCAGGGAGGAAAAAGAACAGACAAUACCCAUCAAAGUCCAUUUGGAUAUCCAAAUUUGCCCGUAUAUGUAUACAAAUUUUAGCGUCCAACUGAUUUCCAUAGCCGUUUGUAUAUUUCUAAGCAAUUUGUACAUCCAUGUUCUAAUAUUCAAAUUUGUUUCCAGCCCUAUUUAUAAUUCUCAUGCGGUUAUAUAUGUCUGCUUGCAUGUACGAUAAACUGAUUCAACUCCUUACGUGACAAUGCUGGCAAAACUACGGGGUUAAGCGAAAAACGAGUAAAGGGUUUGGAAUUUGCAAAGGAUUAGAUAGAAUGACACAAUGGCGUAGACUUGAGAAUUUUCAAAUAGCAGCAUUUCAUCACAGAACCUGCUGAAUUUGCGUCAUAACAUGCUAAUUACAUGAUCAUUAGACCAAUAAUCAUUUCAGACGUCUCACAGUAUUUGCUUUCUUUUAAGACACUGACCAUACAAAUUAGUCGCAACAAAAAAUUUAUCAACAGCAUCACAAAGAGGAGAGAGAGAGGGAGAGAGAGAGAGAGGAGGAGGAGGAUAUGCUAGAAUUGCUAUGGUACAAA